CCUAAGUAAGGUAAUAGGGAAUUACAAAAAUAAGGGAGAUAUAAACCUCAAAUUAUAUUAUAAAAGCUACUCCCACUGACAAUGAAAGUAAGACUUCUAUCUGAACUGUAGGCAAUUAUGCAAUGUUACAUUCUCAGAAUAGAAUCUAUACAACUAGUUCUAUUCCUAUUUCUUUAAUUCUAAAAGAAUCAGAGCAAAGGCACAAUUUGAAAAGGCAGCAAGAGUGGGGAAAUCUCUCCAGAACUGAGAGACAUGUUCAACAGGCACUCUGAGUUCAAGACAGAAAAAUGGGAAACAAAAAGAUACACGUCCCUUCAAAAUUGAUUUCAGGGUAAGUCAUGUUCAUCUUAGUUUGUGUAUAAGAGCAAACAGUAAGAAACAAGAUAAUGAAAAAGGUGCCUAAUUGGAUUUAGAGAUUCUUACUUUUUAUUUCCCAUUUUUAAAGUUUUGUCUAGGACAGUCCAUUCUACUGAAUAACUUUAAGUUCAACCAUUUUGAUAUUUACAUACCUGGUCUAAACUA
This 522-nucleotide long non-coding RNA is filed under the name Bos taurus (domestic cattle). RNAcentral describes it as "long non-coding RNA NONBTAT019741". The record is from RNAcentral. Lineage: Eukaryota; Metazoa; Chordata; Mammalia; Artiodactyla; Bovidae.